GAUGAAGAACGUAGCGAAAUGCGAUACGUAGUGUGAAUUGCAGAAUUCAGUGAAUCAUCGAAUCUUUGAACGCACAUUGCACCUCUCGGUAUUCUGGGAGGUAUGCCUGUUCGAGCGUCAUUUGUACCCUCAAGCUCUGCUUGGUGUUGGGUGUUUGUUCCGCCUCUGUGUGUGAACUCGCCUCAAAACAAUUGGCAGCCGGCGUACUUGUUUCGGAGCGCAGCACAUUUUGCGAUCCAGAUCAACGUACAGCGGCAUCCAAGAAGCCUUAUUUAACGCUCUUGACCUCGGAUCAGGUAGGGAUACCCGCUGAACUUAAGCAUAUCAAUAAGCGGAGGA
This 339-nucleotide unclassified non-coding RNA is filed under the name soil metagenome. Its description in RNAcentral is "partial contains 5.8S ribosomal RNA, internal transcribed spacer 2, and large subunit ribosomal RNA". The stretch from base 1 to 120 matches the Rfam family "5.8S ribosomal RNA", at positions 35 to 154 of the family's 154-position model. The record is from RNAcentral.